CGAUAUGAAGUCCACAAUUGUCUCUCUUAAAACAGAAAUGGAAACACGCAAAAGAUUUAGAUGUGAAUCUGGUGUUUUUGGAUAACACGUUUACCCGCCUCCCGUUAUCUGGCUACAUGAAAAAAAACAUAGUGUUAAAGACAGCAUUUCAAGAAACACCAACCUUGACGUAUGGACUUUACUAGAUUCCAGUACCAGUAAUAAUUUGCGUGUGAAUACUGUUACA
This is a long non-coding RNA of Saccostrea cuccullata (small rock oyster), 226 nucleotides long. RefSeq lists it as uncharacterized. The transcript is spliced from 3 exons. The record is from RefSeq and is a predicted model, not a curated record. Lineage: Eukaryota; Metazoa; Mollusca; Bivalvia; Ostreida; Ostreidae.